CUGCGCUGCGGCGUGGCCAGGCGUCAUGGACUUGUCUUUUCACUUAUUCUCCUGUCGUGCUUAUUUUGCCGAGUUCGGAGCGCUUGUUAUCGGCUGUCUGUGCGGAUCUACCCUCGUGGGCAUCAAUGUCUUGUUUCGUGAUGGGUUUUGCUUGCCCCGCCGAUACUCGCUAUCGUCGGUGCAGCUGAUGUGUCUGGCUUAUUCAUUGUGCGGUGGUGGGCAAACGCCCUUGUGCCGCACUUGGUUUAUGCCGGGCUCUCAUGGAUGCGGUGCCCCAUUUGAGGUGUAUGUGGGCCGUUGGUUCCUCUGACUUCCUCGGGAGGUCCCAUGUGCGGAUCGUGGCUCUGUCGCUCUGCUCUCUCGUUGCGGAUUGCUGGAGCAGCGCGUGCGGGGUGCGAUCUUGUGCAUGCGAGAUGUUUGUCCGUUUGUAUGAUCGAUUGCUGGCUCACGUCGUCGCAGCGGGCUCCCGUUUGGGGCGCGCCGGAGCGAUGCGUCGGCUCUCGUUUAAGAUGUGCUACCUGGUUGAUCCUGCCAGUA
RNAcentral lists this unclassified non-coding RNA (537 nucleotides) under Gahnia baniensis. RNAcentral describes it as "partial external transcribed spacer 1". Lineage: Eukaryota; Viridiplantae; Streptophyta; Magnoliopsida; Poales; Cyperaceae. The record is from RNAcentral.